RNAcentral lists this long non-coding RNA (1806 nucleotides) under Homo sapiens (human). RNAcentral describes it as "non-protein coding lnc-SH3D21-8:1". The record is from RNAcentral. Lineage: Eukaryota; Metazoa; Chordata; Mammalia; Primates; Hominidae.
AUUCAUUCCGCACGCAUUCAUUGAACCGGCGACCUGGGCCAGGCUCCUUCCCAGGCUCCGGCAUGGAGCAGUGACCAAGAUCAAGUGGCUCCCUGAGCUGAUGGCGCUGCAGGGGAGAGAGUCUUAAGAAAACAAAGAAGAAAAAUAGGGAAAAAUUUCUUCAGAAGAUUAAAGGUGUGAUGUGAUGGUGACAAGGUGGUCUUUUAUUGGAUUGUCAGGGGUGCCCUGAGAAGGUGACAUUUGAGUUGAGAUUAGUGACAUGAAGCCAAGCUUGUGAAAACUAUGGGAGGAGCAUUGCAAUUAGCGGGAACAGUUUGUUAAGUAAAAUUUAUAGGAGGCAGGGCCGGGUGCAGAGGCCCACACCUGUAAUCCCAGCACUUUGGAGGACAAGGCGGAAGGAUCACUGGAGCCCAGGAGUUCGAGACCAGUCUGGGCAACAAUGGGGAGACCCUGUCUCUACAAAAAAUAGAAAAAAUUAGCCCACCGUGGUGGCGUACACCUCUGGUCCCACCUACUUGGGAGGCUGAGGCAGGAGAAUUGCUUGAAUCCAGGAAGUGGAGGCUGCAGUGAGCUCAGAAAGUAACACUUCAUUCCAGCCUGGGCAACAGAGCAAGACUCCGUCUCAAAAAAAAAAAAAAAUUGGAGGCCAUUGGUUUGAACAGGGCUCCUGCACCAAGCCCAACAGAACCAAAAUGGAGUCACUCAUGCUAAAGUUCUACAUCACCAAGUGGAAACUAAGUUGUUUAUCUGAUAUUCCGAUAAAUCAGAAGAGUGAGAGAUAGCUAGAUCUCCAAACCAUCCUGUUUUAGCUGGCAGGAUAAGGAAGUCCCCUCUGCUUUAGCCUUCAAAGUUACAAGGAAAGUAACUUUGAAACAACCAAUCUUUUUGUUUUCUGUUUCUGCUUUCCUCAGCCCUUUUCUGGCUGUAAAACCAAUCUCCUCUGCUCAGCUCAUUUGAACACUCAUUCCAUUUUAUAGAAUGAAGUGUUGCCCGAUUCUAGAGUUGCAAAUAAAAGUCAGAUUUAACAAAUUUGGCAAAAAAAAGUCAAAUCACCAAUUAAAAGUUAAAUUUUUUCUUUUCACAGUUCAUGCAAAGAACCUGGGGGAAAUGACCUUGACAAUUUAGGAACACAGGAAAGGCCAGGGAAGCUGGGGAGAGUGGUAUAACAAGAGGCCAGAGAGGAAGCAGGAACCAGAGCAUAUAGGGCUUUGUGAGCCAAGGUAAGGAGUUUAGAUUUCAUGGUUAGGAGUGCAGCCUCCGGAUACAGUGCCUAGGUUCAAAUCUACUCCUGGCUAAUUGUGACUUUGGGCAAGUUAGUAUCUUCUCUGUGCCUCAGUCUUCUCAUCUAGUACUAGAAGUGCUAUGACAGGCUAUUGAAAGGGAGCGAAGUGAUUUGAUUUACUUGUAGAGACAGGUUCUCACCCUGUCAUCCAGGCUGGAGUGCAGUGGUGUGAUCAUAGCUCACUGCAGCCUCAACUACCUGGGCUCAAGUGAUCCUCCUACCCAAGCCUCAAGAAUAGCUGGGACUACAGGCACACGCCACUGUGCCCCACCUGAUUUACAUUUUUUAAAAGUCACUCUGUAUAGCCUUGGAAAAAUUACUUUCUUCCUCAGCCUCAAUUUGCUUGUUAUGAAAACAAAAAAUUAGGCCUUUCUCAGAGAACUGUAAGAUUUAAGUGACCUUCAUUAAUGUGUGAAAGCAUCUGGCACAGAGAAGAAGCUCAGUAAAUUAGGCUUCUUGGCUGGGGGUGGUGGCUCACACCUGUAAUCCCAACACUUUGGGAGGCCAAGGCAAGAGGACUGUUU